UACGGGAGGCAGCAGUGGGGAAUAUUGCACAAUGGGCGAAAGCCUGAUGCAGCUAUGCCGCGUGUAUGAAGAAGGCCUUAGGGUUGUAAAGUACUUUCAUCGGGGAGGAAAAAACAAAACUAAUAAUUUUAUUUCUUGACGUUACCCGAAAAAGAAGCACCGGCUAACUCCGUGCCAGCAGCCGCGGUAAUACGGAGGGUGCUAGCGUUAAUCAGAAUUACUGGGCGUAAAGGGCACGUAGGUGGUUUUUUUAAGUCAGAUGUGAAAUCCCUGGGCUUAACCUGGAACUGCAUUUUGAAACUGAAAUACUAGAGUAUCGUAGAGGGAGGUAGAAUUCUAGGUGUAGCGGUGAAAUGCGUAGAUAUCUGGAGGAAUACCUGUGGCGAAAGCGGCCUCCUAAACGAAUACUGACACUGAGGGUGCGAAAGCGUGGGGAGCGAAACAGGGAUUAGAUACCCGU
This 460-nucleotide ribosomal RNA is filed under the name uncultured bacterium. RNAcentral's name for it is "bacterial SSU rRNA". It matches the Rfam family "Bacterial small subunit ribosomal RNA", at positions 340 to 789 of the family's 1533-position model. The record is from RNAcentral.